Molecule: ribosomal RNA, 254 nt
Filed under: uncultured bacterium
Lineage: Bacteria
Description: partial 16S ribosomal RNA
Rfam family: Bacterial small subunit ribosomal RNA
Source: RNAcentral
UACGGAGGGUGCGAGCGUUGUCCGGAAUCAUUGGGCGUAAAGGGCGCGUAGGUGGCCCGGCAAGCGUGCGGUGAAAGCUCGGGGCUCAACCCCGAGUCGGCCGUGCGAACUGCUGGGCUCGAGCACUGUAGAGGCAGGCGGAAUUCCGGGUGUAGCGGUGGAAUGCGUAGAGAUCCGGAAGAACACCGGUGGCGAAGGCGGCCUGCUGGGCAGUGGCUGACACUGAGGCGCGGACAGCGUGGGGAGCAAACAGG